UUUAGGCUUUGCUUGACUUGCAGCAGGUUUGCUGCUUGGUUUGGCAGGUGCACUUUUGGGUGCUGCAGGCUUAGUGGCACCCUUGGCAGCGGCUGGUUUUGCAGGAGCCUUUUGUUGCGCUGGCUUCUUCGUCGCUUCCUUGACAGCUUGCUGUUUAGCAGGGGCAGGCUUUCCUGCUUGCUUCUGGGCUGGCUGACUCUUGCCGGCUUGCUGCUUUGCCGCAGGUGCAGCCUUUUUGGCAGGGGCGGUAGCAGCUGCAGGUUUCGCUGGUUUAGGUUUUGCCUCUGCCUUUGGUGCGGCAGGUUUCUUAGCUGCUGGGGCAGCAGCUGCAGGUUUCUUUGCAGCAGGCUUCUUAUCACCAGCAGCUGCUGCUGGCUUCUUCGGUGCAGUCUUAGGAGGCAUUAUCAGUUAAAACUAUAAUCAAGAAACAGAUAUACCAAUAAGACAGUGAUUUGAAAAGGGGGCUGAGUUUCAGAGACCACAAAAGAGAAAUGUUCUGUUGGCUUCAGAGGGGUAAAUUUAAAAUACCACUGCAAUUCAUUUGAAUAAAUAUUUACAUUAACUUUUACCAAUAUUUUUGGUAUUUUCAACACUUGGUGACGGGAUGAGUCUAAUGCUUUGUUCCUGUCUAAAUUAAAGAGUAAAACAAACCAAGGAUUUCAAAAGCAUGUCAGAAAUAACAACAGCAACUUAAGGAGCUGUUGAGCAAAGAAUUCUCAGGUGAAAUUAUGAAGAUUAGUGCUCUUGGGUAAAAAUAAUUUCUGAAUAUAUAUUCUUGAACACACAGGGUUAUUCUAUGACUGCCUAUGAGGGGCUGCUUAUUCGCUGAGGGUACAUCAAUUUUUUUGAUUGCGUCACAUAGCAGCAUUGUUAAGGGAGGCAGUUCAUUCAAACUUCUGACUCUAACCAAUAAGUACCUCUGUAUUGCUGGUUAAUACUGAUGCAAAAGCGCAUAUCGACGGUGUAAGUCGGCAAUCACAUCACUCGGUUUGCGACAUUGCAGACUUCCUGUCAUACUUUCUAUUAUGAACGGAAAACUACUCAAUGGCAAUUCUUUAAAACUGAUGUGAUUUUUCUUCUCUGUACAAAGAAAAUUCUGCAUGAACUUCAAGGAAUGAUGUCAAUUUGUUCUCUUUUAAAAAAAAUAGCACAAAGGCGGAGAUUUUCAGACACUGCAAACGAGUUAUGCGAUUGCCAACUUACACCGUCGACAUGCCAACUAACUCUGGUUGGAAGCAGAUCAUGGAGUUUUGGUAUAUAGAGAAAUGCUGUUAGCAGGGGUUGAGAUCCAUACCCUUUACAGUUAUAUAAAGAUUUUGAAAAGGACACCUCUUAGUUUGUAUUGCUGAAUAUAAGCUCAAUCUGCACUGAAAUGCUGGAAGAAACGUAGCUAUCUGGUGGAGUGGAUUCGUAUGCAAGUAUCAUGACAACAGGAAAGUUCAGAAUAGGCUACCGAGACGCCCGCAGAACAGAGAAGUCAAAAACGUCUGCAUUCUACACGGACUAUUAUGAGAAUAAAUGCUGUUCAGAGCAUCACAUCACAGAAUGACUGAAGCAUGCUUACUGAACCAAACAUGCCUGCGCUCAUAUGGAAAGAUAUAAAUGGUGAUGCCUAUGUAAGAAAAAUAAUGGUUUAGAGAGGAAAGAGAAAAGAUUGUAUGGGACAAUGCUCUCCGAAAAAAGAAAGAAAUCGCAACUUGAUUUAAAUUUGAAAUCUAAGUGUAACAUAGGCUUCGGCGGCCACAUGACACCGAUAGACGCGCGUGGUGCGCUCGGUACCCUGGAUUAAAGAGAACGUGAAAAGCGACAAAUCUCACAAGGGAACCAUGGGAGGAAAUGAUGCAGAAUUACUUACGGAAAAAAUCCAGAAUAAAAGAAAGAAAAGCCACGUACAACUUUGUCAAAUACUGGGACCGUCCGGUUCUACAGAGAAUCUGCUUUGGUUAGGACAGCAAGAAAAAAAAUGACAUUUUAUAGGACGGAACGGCAGCACCAGCGGCGAACCAACUUUGAACCAAACAACAGCGCUUGCGUUGCACUGUUGCUAUAUUUGAAUUUCAGCGGAACGUUCCUUAAUUGAACUGCAAAUUUUCAUUUCAUCCCAAUUUUUCCAAAUAUUCCUUUUAACAUCACCAACACCACCGCACUACCAACACAACACGCUUACAUUUGAUUGUGUUGGAGGCAAGACCAAUCCACACAGGUCAGGUCAGUCAUUCCCGUGGACGAGUUUUGGUCCUCUACUGCGCAGUGACGUACUAUUGAGUGCACGCAAUGUAUGGUUGCGUUCCAGAAUUCAUCUUUUUGAUGGAUCGUCAAUCGGUUGUAUAGUAGAACAUGGCGUCAUGCUGACGUAACCGAUGGAGUCUGAUGGAAAGUCAGAUGACGUAUCUUCGAUUGAUCCCAAAAACGCUUUGAUGAAAUUUUCGAUGACGAGUUUGUUAUGUUUAUUAUUAUCACUUAUCAGCGAAACAUGGCGAAACAAUCUAUAAUAUCUGUUUUCUUCAAUUUUAAGCGUUUGGGGCUUUAUUUCAGUAGCGAAAUUGCUGGCAAUUCAGUCCUUUGAGUUUUUCGAUUAUUCUGUAGGAUUUGUUUUGAGUCUUGUCCUUCCAUCUGUUAAAGUUUACCCAAGUGAAGUUGCUAUCCUAGAGUGUUUUGCUUUCUUGAUGUUACUUGUAACUGCUCUCUGUGUCAUUUGGACACCUUAUUUAUUUUCACAUGAUAUCUUUCUGCUUACAUGCUAGAGAUCUGAUGUUUGAUCUCACCAGCUGAUUAAAGGCAGUCGAAACAGAUGAUCCUGUAUGGAUCGUCUGUCCGUUUAAGUGUUAGUAAGCAUUUCUCUCAAUACACAAGUAGUCCUGAUCGCUUUCUCAGUGGCUUGUCGCUACUUUGUUCGCACACAUCGCUGAAGACCCCAACAACUUCAGGCGAGAAAUCAACCAUUGAGGAGAGCCUUUAAGUCCUCAAGAAGGAAGCUGAGCCACUGAAUAUUUCUUGAGAACUAAGGUUGUGCAGAUGGACCUGCAAGUUUGCUUGGUUUCAGGAAAUUUUAUUGGCAGGCUCUGUAACAUGGCAUUCAUUGGAAGCAAUCGCAGCAAAACCUUGGAAACUAUCAAUAUUAUUAAGUGAGUUAGAUAGCAUCUCAGCAGAUUCAAUCGUGCUCUGCGUCAGAGCUCAGUACUGAGACUUCCGCAGACUGUGUUCAUUCUUUGACACUUUGUGCAAAGAAGUUUAG
Molecule: long non-coding RNA, 3235 nt
Filed under: Bemisia tabaci
Lineage: Eukaryota; Metazoa; Arthropoda; Insecta; Hemiptera; Aleyrodidae
Description: lncRNA ENSSSA2NGG008964
Source: RNAcentral